GCGGAAGUGGAGCUACCGCCACCGCCGCCGCCGAUUCCGGAGCCGGGGUAGUCGCCGCCGCCGCCGCCGCUGCAGCCACUGCAGGCACCGCUGCCGCCGCCUGAGUAGUGGGCUUAGGAAGGAAGAGGUCAUCUCGCUCGGAGCUUCGCUCGGAAGGGUCUUUGUUCCCUGCAGCCCUCCCACGGCAUUUGAUGAAGCAAUUGCUGAAUUGGAUACGCUGAAUGAAGAGUCUUAUAAAGACAGCACUCUGAUCAUGCAGUUACUUAGGGACAAUCUCACUCUGUGGACAUCGGAAAACCAGGGAGACGAAGGAGACGCUGGGGAGGGAGAGAACUAAUGUUUCUCGUGCUUUGUGAUCUGUUCAGUGUCACUCUGUACCCUCAACAUAUAUCCCUUGUGCGAUAAAAAAAAAAAAAAAAAAAAAAAGAGAAUCGUACGUCGACUUUCGAUUUUUCACAGCCUCAGCCUAGGAAAAAUGGUUCAUGGGAUAAACAGCUGGUAUUUGUAUCUAAAACUCAGAUUGGUCACAUAAAUGCCACGGCAUUCCGAAGUUUUGAUUUUGAUUAACAUUGACAGGAUUACUGUGUGUUUAAUUUUUUAAAAACUGAACACUGUGAUUAUGGGGUUUUGUAAUUUAGCAGAACUCUUACUGGUAGAAAAAAUAGACCUGAAUUAUGUGUAACUUUUUGGAAGGUUUAAUCUGAUAUCAAAAUAAUCAUUGAAAUACAAUUCCAUUGUAAAGUUGUACAGAAAGUUAUAGAGAUUAUAUUGUGAUGCUGGAACUUGGAGUGAGACACACAUCAUUUGGCAUUUGAGUUGAAUGGUAAUUCACAGUAAUGCUGCCGUUGUUCGGGACUUAAAGACACUUGACCUGUUUGGGCUGUUGCCACUUAAAAGUUCAUGACCACAAAUGUCCACAGUGUCUUCCUCUGAGGAAACUCGAAUCCUGAAAUGGAAAUUCUUUGUGGCAGAUAACUGGCUUAUGACACCUUGAAAAGUUCAAGUGCUCAUAUAACACACCACACUGAACCCCCUUUCCUACAGCAAUAUGUUCACUAUGUUACCAAUUUGCAACUUGUGCUUCAAUAGUGGAAUCUACUUUCAUUGUUAACACUGAGCUAAAGAAAAAAAGCCGUGUGUUUUAUGAAUGACCUUAUCUGUUUCCUGGAUAAUACCUUUAAGAAUAAUGUCCUGAGUCAGGCGUGGUGGUGCGUGCAUCUAGUCCCAACUAUUUGGGAGGCUGAGGCAGGAGGAUCGCUUGAGCCCAGGAGUUUAAAGCUGCAGUGCCCUGUGGUUGCACCUGUGAAUAACUGCACUCCAGCCUGGGCAACAUAGCGAGACCUCAUCUCCAAAAAAGAAAACAAAAAACAAAAAAAGGAAUGAUGUUCUGUAGAGAUGGCCUUUCACUUGAGGAGUACUCAGUUUUCAGGUUCUUCCUAGCUCGGGGCUUUUAAAUUUUGAAAUCUAAACAUUCUUUCCCACCAUCCUUUUUGACUGUUGACCUUGGUUUUCUCUUCUAAGUUUCUGUCCCUCUGCUUCCUUACUUUUUUUCCUUUUUGAAUUCUAUCUUUAUCUGUCUUUUGUUCACUUUUUAAUGCUAUAUAUGGGCAGGGGUGAGAGACAUUACUGAGCACCUUGGUGAGCAAGCCUGGCUUUAAAGAUUGGAGAAGAGCUUCUGGCACCAGAACCCUGUCUUCCUCCAGUUCUCAACACGGUGUUGCUCUUCAGUCAUACCGGAAUCUGAAUCAAAAAAGUAUUUUUAAAUAUCCAUGAUUUCUCCCUGUAUUGAGGCUAGCCCUGAUCAUGCUUUUUGUGCCUGUCACCAGGUCUCCCAAGUGCACUCAUCCAGGUCAGUGCUCAGAUGUGUUUAAGGAGACCCUAUAUUCAGGGAAGUUGCGUGAACACUGCAGUGGGGAGAAUUGAGAAUAGUCAGGCCUAUCAGUCUCACAGAAUCACCCCUCUACCUUUGAUAUUCCACUUAGCUGUAGAGUCCAUCUGUUUGUCCAUCUGCUGAAAUGAGAAAAGAAAAAUUUAUGCACUGAUUUAAAACAAACCAAAAAAAAAGAAAAAAACAAAAAAAAAAAUCCCUCCUUUCUAGCUGAACAAAAAUGUGCAGUUAAUACUUGGCGCUUGAAAAUGCAGUAGUGAAUGUGGAACCAAGCCUGUCUGUAUAUCUGGUAGCUCUUUUCUUGCUUUGUUUUUUCUUACCAGUAUUCUGCCUAACGUUUGCUUCUGUGAUGGUUAUAUUGCCUAGCAAGCACACCCGUGGUUGUGAAAAUAGUAUAGCAAAAAAGAAAAAUCCCCGGUUAUUGAUGUACUAGAUUUGUGUAUGUCUUUUAAACAGUUCUAGUUUCACCUUACACAGAAUAAUCAGGAAAAGUGUAAAAAUUCAAAAGUGAAAUAAAAAUUUUAUCAGUU
RNAcentral lists this long non-coding RNA (2418 nucleotides) under Homo sapiens (human). Its description in RNAcentral is "long non-coding RNA NONHSAT079920.2". The record is from RNAcentral. Lineage: Eukaryota; Metazoa; Chordata; Mammalia; Primates; Hominidae.